UCCCUUAUAGCUCAGUUGGUAAAGAAUCCGCUUGCAAUGCAGGAGACCCUGGUUCGAUUCCUGGGUUGGGAA
Molecule: transfer RNA, 72 nt
Filed under: Bos taurus (domestic cattle)
Lineage: Eukaryota; Metazoa; Chordata; Mammalia; Artiodactyla; Bovidae
Also listed under: 5 other names
Rfam family: tRNA
About the family: Transfer RNA (tRNA) molecules are approximately 80 nucleotides in length.
Source: Rfam by way of RNAcentral